GUUCCCAAUGAUACUACUAUUCUUUACCAUGCUAAUGCUGAAUAACAUUUGAUUAUUCCUUUUAUUAUACUGAAGAAACU
This is a small nucleolar RNA of Arachis stenosperma, 80 nucleotides long. RefSeq annotates it as small nucleolar RNA snoR53Y. The record is from RefSeq and is a predicted model, not a curated record. The transcript has a single exon. NCBI's taxonomy places the organism in Eukaryota, Viridiplantae, Streptophyta, Magnoliopsida, Fabales, Fabaceae.